GUACUGAUGAAAAGUCCAAAACUAGGACGAAACAGCUGUCCAGUAC
Trichobilharzia regenti is the source of this 46-nucleotide non-coding RNA. The record is from Rfam. Lineage: Eukaryota; Metazoa; Platyhelminthes; Trematoda; Strigeidida; Schistosomatidae.